Long non-coding RNA from Sphaeramia orbicularis (orbiculate cardinalfish), 159 nucleotides. RefSeq lists it as uncharacterized. Lineage: Eukaryota; Metazoa; Chordata; Actinopteri; Kurtiformes; Apogonidae. The record is from RefSeq and is a predicted model, not a curated record. The transcript is spliced from 3 exons.
UGGGGGUCACUUCAGGGUCGCAUUCAUUUCAUACUCAAAACUGAUAAAAGUCGCAUUUAAUGUGUGUUAUGAACGAGCACACGAAAAAAUCAGAUUUCACCAAAAAAUCCGAAUUGUCCAUUCAGACAUGCUGUCUGAACGUAGCCUUAGGUGGCGGUG